GGUGUGGUACUAUAACGAUUAGAGUCGACUUGCAUUCGGAUAAUAGGCACAUAUUGCCUCCAUGCUU
This 67-nucleotide transfer RNA is filed under the name Lithophaga curta. RNAcentral's name for it is "tRNA-Ala". The record is from RNAcentral. Lineage: Eukaryota; Metazoa; Mollusca; Bivalvia; Mytilida; Mytilidae.